Molecule: ribosomal RNA, 503 nt
Filed under: uncultured bacterium
Lineage: Bacteria
Description: partial 16S ribosomal RNA
Rfam family: Bacterial small subunit ribosomal RNA
Source: RNAcentral
AUUGAACGCUGGCGGCAGGCUUAACACAUGCAAGUCGAGCGGGGUGAUGGUGCUUGCACUAUCACUUAGCGGCGGACGGGUGAGUAAUGCUUAGGAAUCUGCCUAUUAGUGGGGGACAACAUCUCGAAAGGGAUGCUAAUACCGCAUACGUCCUACGGGAGAAAGCAGGGGAUCACUUGUGACCUUGCGCUAAUAGAUGAGCCUAAGUCGGAUUUGCUAGUUGGUGGGGUAAAGGCCUACCAAGGCGACGAUCUGUAGCGGGUCUGAGAGGAUGAUCCGCCACGCUGGGACUGAGACACGGCCCAUACUCCUACGGGAGUCAGCAGUGGGGAAUAUUGGACAAUGGGGGGAACCCUGAUCCAGACAUGCCGCGUGUGUGAAGAAGGCCUUAUGGUUGUAAAGCACUUUAAGCGAGGAGGAGGCUCUUUUGGUUAAUACCCAAGAUGAGUGGACGUUACUCGCAGAAUAAGCACCGGCUAACUCUGUGCCAGCAGCCGCGGUAA